RNAcentral lists this ribosomal RNA (497 nucleotides) under uncultured bacterium. RNAcentral's name for it is "partial 16S ribosomal RNA". It matches the Rfam family "Bacterial small subunit ribosomal RNA", at positions 28 to 507 of the family's 1533-position model. The record is from RNAcentral.
GAUGAACGCUGGCGGCGUGCCUAAUACAUGCCAGUCGAGCGAACAGACGAGGAGCUUGCUCCUCUGACGUUAUCGGCGGACGGGUGAGUAACACGUGGAUAACCUACCUAUAAGACUGGGAUAACUUCGGGAAACCGGAGCUAAUACCGGAUAACAUGUUGAACCGCAUGGUUCAACAGUGAAAUACGGUCUUGCUGUCACUUAUAGAUGGAUCCGCGCCGCAUUAACUAGUUGGUAAGGUAACGGCUUACCAAGGCAACGAUGCGUAGCCGACCUGAGAGGGUGAUCGGCCACCCUGGAACAGAGACAGGGUCCAGACUCCUAGGGGGGGAAGCAGUAGGGAAUCUUCCGGAAUGGGCGAAAGCCUGACGGAGGAAAGCGGCGUGAGUGAAGAAGGUCUUCGGAUCGUAAAACUCUGUUAUUAGGGAAGAACAAAUGUGUAAGUAACUAUGCACGUCUUGACGGUACCUAAUCAGAAAGCCACGGCUAACUACGUG